AGUGGCGGUGGACGUGUGCGGCCGAGAGGGGACGCGAGGCGGGUCUGGCCACAGGCAGCGCUAGCGAGAGCGUCUCCAGCCGGCCCCCGCACCCACACUCCACACCCUCCAGACCCCAGACCGGGAGCCACACAAGGCUGCCAAAUUUGGGAGGUGGGGAAAAGAGAGGGAGGAGAAAGAGGGGGUGUCUCCUGCGCCCCGAUCCUCCCUCUGCUCUUUAACCCAGCGACAGAAAUGAACGGUCGGCGACGUGUGGCUCUGUCUACUUUUGAGAUUCCCUGGGGGCAGUAACUCCGUGUCCCCUAUCCGCGGCCAGCUUGGGAGGAGGAGACAAAUCCGGUUAUCCGCGUUGGGGCACUUGCUGGUAACUGCAGCUUUCUGCAAGCCUGGUCCAAGGUUGGGGAGAGACUAAAAGGGAAUUAGGAACUGACUGACACCCCCUGGAAGGAAGAAGGGGGGACGAGGAACGUGGCGCUUUUUACUUUGGGAUGGGACAGUCGGGGGUUUUCAGUCUUAGAUAUGACUGGGUCUAAAAUAAAUUUUGUGAUUGUAGGAUACGGCCAGUCAGUAACUAAUGUUAUGGAAAUAGGUCUCUUUCAGCUCUUUUGCAGUUCUUCUCCGUGAAGAAUCCAGAAACCAUUUGGCAGUGCUCUAUUUUGUGAAGCAAACUUUGGCCAGUUUGGUGAAGGACUCUGAGCCGAUGAAACGGGCCUAGCUGCAACUGAACUCUGGAGUCCAGAAGCUCCCCACCAAUCACAGGCUACCCUCUUGAUGGCGACACUGCUUUCUUCUGUGCUCAGGGAUCCCGUCACACAUCACGAAUGAGAAGCUGAGUAUUUCAACUUUCAAUCACUUGGAAUAAGCCUUUCCUUCCUGGAUAAAAGAUUAGCUGACAUGUAUGGGCUGUUAAAAUUUAUAUAUGCAAAAGAGUUGACAGUUACGUUCCUUGCAUUUCUUGGAGAGAGAGGAGAGCCUGAAACCGACGGCAGUAUAUAGCAGAAUUUCCUUGGGAGCCUGGCACUUUCUGCAAUGCUCACAGAACAAAGGAGACAGAAAAUUAAACCCCGAGUGCCUAGACAACAACUUCCCUUCAUUUCAAAAUAGCUUCAAGACAGUGAACCAGAGCCAUGUGGGGAAAUAUGAAAAUGUAGUCCUGGUCUUGGGCAUGGGACAAGCUGCCUCCUGCUCCUAUAGACAAGACAGUGUGGUCCAUACCCAUGGUCACAAGAGCCCUUGGGCUAACCCAAAAAGCAAGGUAUGGACUGGAUAUCCUUGUUACUAAUGUAAUUUGUCAGGACCCCACAGCCUCGUGUUUUAACACUUGGUCUCCAGGUAGUGAUGCUAUUUUGAAAGGCUUUUGAACCUGUAAGAGGUGAGGUCUAGCUGGAGGAAGCAGAUCACUAAGGGCGAGCCUUUGAAGGCUACUAUGGGGACCUACUUCCUGUUUUGUUUCUCUGCUUCCAAUCAGCUGACCGGAGACAUUUAUUAACUUUAUAGGGAUUAGUUUUUGAAAUGACAAUGGGUUAU
Long non-coding RNA from Onychomys torridus (southern grasshopper mouse), 1527 nucleotides. RefSeq lists it as uncharacterized. NCBI's taxonomy places the organism in Eukaryota, Metazoa, Chordata, Mammalia, Rodentia, Cricetidae. The transcript is spliced from 3 exons. The record is from RefSeq and is a predicted model, not a curated record.